Molecule: unclassified non-coding RNA, 400 nt
Filed under: uncultured fungus
Lineage: Eukaryota; Fungi
Description: sequence contains ITS1
Source: RNAcentral
GUGGACUACACGGGUAUCUAAUCCUGUUUGCUCCCCACGCUUUCGCGUCUCAGCGUCAGUAAAUGUCCAGGUGGCCGCCUUCGCCACUGAUGUUCCUCCCGAUAUCUACGAAUUUCACCUCUACACCGGGAAUUCCGCCACCCUCUCCAUUACUCAAGACAAGCAGUUUCGGAUGCAGUUCCUAGGUUGAGCCCAGGGAUUUCACAACCGACUUGCGAGUCCGCCUACACGCGCUUUACGCCCAGUAAAUCCGAGCAACGUUCGCACCCUCUGUAUUACCGCGGCUGCUGGCACAGAGUUAGCCGGUGCUUGCUAAGGAGGUACCGUCAAGACGCAGCCAUUUCCUACUGCGCGUUUUCGUCCCUCCCCACAGAGCUUUACGACCCGAAGGCCUUCAUCA